AGUUUGAUCCUGGCUCAGGAUGAACGCUAGCGGCAGGCCUAAUACAUGCAAGUCGAACGGUGAUAGCAAUAUCAUAGUGGCGCACGGGUGCGUAACACGUAUGCAACCUACCUAUCAUUGGGGGAUAGCCUUUGGAAACGGAGAUUAAUACCGCAUAAUACGAUUGACUGGCAUCGGUUGAUUGUUAAAGCUUCGGCGAUAAUAGAUGGGCAUGCGUCCAAUUAGUUAGUUGGUUAGGUAACGGCUGACCAAGACGAUGAUUGGUAGGGGAUCUGAGAGGAUAAUCCCCCACACUGGCACUGAGAUACGGGCCAGACUCCUACGGGAGGCAGCAGUAGGGAAUAUUGGGCAAUGGGCGGAAGCCUGACCCAGCCAUGCCGCGUGCAGGAAGAAGGCGUUAUGCGUUGUAAACUGCUUUUUUAUAGGAAGAAGGAUCCCUUGCGAGGGAAGGUGACGGUACUAUAAGAAUAAGCACCGGCUAACUCCGUGCCAGCAGCCGCGGUAAUACGGAGGGUGCAAGCGUUGUCCGGAUUUAUUGGGUUUAAAGGGUGCGUAGGCGGUUUAUUAAGUCAGUGGUGAAAGACGGUCGCUCAACGAUUGCAGUGCCAUUGAUACUGGUAGACUUGAGUGAG
This 632-nucleotide ribosomal RNA is filed under the name uncultured bacterium. Its description in RNAcentral is "bacterial SSU rRNA". It matches the Rfam family "Bacterial small subunit ribosomal RNA", at positions 10 to 650 of the family's 1533-position model. The record is from RNAcentral.